RNAcentral lists this ribosomal RNA (44 nucleotides) under Tuber neoexcavatum. Its description in RNAcentral is "partial 18S ribosomal RNA". Lineage: Eukaryota; Fungi; Ascomycota; Pezizomycetes; Pezizales; Tuberaceae. The record is from RNAcentral.
GGAAUAACGGUUUUCCCGUUAGGUGACCUGCGGCAGGAUCAUUA